GCCGUGGCGGCCGUGAGGGUGGGAAGGCCCGGGCGCUCCGGCGGCGCUCGGAGCGGCACUUACCGACCGGCUCGCCGGCACUUCAACUCACGCGCGCCCCUCGCCGCUCCCCCCCUCCACCUCGUACACGGUGGUAGUAGAGAGUGAUGUCUCCCCGGAUCCUCCUCCUCUCCAGGCUAAACACCCCCAGCUCCCUCAGCCACUCCUCAUAGGAUCUGUGCUCCAGAGACUUCACUAGUCCGGAUUCACUUUGAUGAAGAACAUGGCAAGAUAUCCACAAAGGCUCAUUUCUACUAGAUACUCCUCGUAUAUGGAGAGGAGGCAUGGGAAAAGAGAACAAAACAGUCCUAGAGAGCAGGUGAUUUUGUGGACCCAGAGGAGCAUCUUAGAGGAGAUAUGAAAAGAUGAACCGUGUCUGGUUCGGUGGGACUCUUCUGCCUUUGAUUCAUUAAAUACGCUGUAACAAUAACAGCUACUAAUUAAUAAUGUUUUUGGCUAUAUAUGGUGCUGUGUAUUGCCACUUUAACUCAAAUAGUGACUUUCCUAUGUAAAGCUCCACCUAGUUCCCAUGUGUUACAACUCCUUGAGAAGUAUUUUUCCAUCUUCUAAAUUUUAAUUAUUCUCUAAAGAGUGCAUCUCUUGAUUCGAUUUAAAAAACUCCUAUGUAACAUAUGGAUGCCCAUUUAAUGUAGACAGCACAACUCCUCUUUAAUGCAGAAGCUUUCUAUUUAAAAUCAAUAUGUUCACACCACUUUAAGUCUCUCUUCUUCACUUCCAUGUCCCAGUUCAACAAUUUCUAAGCAGCGGGUAUCAGAAUAAACUUUA
Long non-coding RNA from Poecile atricapillus (Black-capped chickadee), 825 nucleotides. RefSeq lists it as uncharacterized. NCBI's taxonomy places the organism in Eukaryota, Metazoa, Chordata, Aves, Passeriformes, Paridae. The transcript is spliced from 4 exons. The record is from RefSeq and is a predicted model, not a curated record.